UGAGUAACGGCGAGCGAAAAGGGAAGAGUCCAGCGCCGAAUCCCGCGCUCUCAGGGGCGUCGGGAAAUGUGGCGUUUGGGAGCGAGCGUGACCGGGGGUUCUGCACGGCAGCAAGUCCCCCUGACAGGGGCUCUUUUUCCCAAAGCGGGUGCCAGGCCCAUAGCUGCCGGGCGUCCUCCGGAAUGCGAACUCCUCGGAGUCGGGUUGCUUGGUAGUGCAGCCCAAAGCGGGUGGUAAACUCCACCUAAGACUAAAUACCGCCGUGAGACCGAUAGCAAACAAGUACCGUGAGGGAAAGUUGCAAAGAACUUUGAAGAGAGAGUUCAAGAGUACGUGAAACUGUUCAGAGGAAAACAGGUGGGCCCACGAAAUCCUGUGGCGGAAGGAUUCAGUCCGUAUGGUCCCGGGCCGCUUCGGAGUUUCAGAGAGGCAUCCCGCGACGGGACCGCUCCGAGGCCAAGUCCGGGUGCUCGACGGACGCAUUUCCUUUCCGUCCUAGCGGGACGUCGCAACGGGUUGGCGGGACGGCCUUAAGGGCGGAGCAAUGGCAGUUGGCGGUGGAUCGGCCCUUCCAUGGGCUCUUUCCGCUCGUCUCUAGCCGUUCCGUCGCACGGCCGAAACCCGACCCUGGUGUCACUAGGCCCCACAUCAUGGGCCUCCGCGUCUCCUCCUUUGAAAUGCGAGGCGAGGCGGCAGGUGAGGCGUCGCCGCGGCACAGGCGCACGGACCGCGUUCCGUGGCCGGCUGCGCGGCGUCCCCGCUGGCUGCGUGCGACUCGUCGGAGGCAUG
RNAcentral lists this ribosomal RNA (789 nucleotides) under Orsinome sp. FAPDNA052. Its description in RNAcentral is "eukaryotic LSU rRNA". The stretch from base 1 to 683 matches the Rfam family "Eukaryotic large subunit ribosomal RNA", at positions 80 to 664 of the family's 3401-position model. The record is from RNAcentral. Lineage: Eukaryota; Metazoa; Arthropoda; Arachnida; Araneae; Tetragnathidae.